ACGCUCGACACCUACGGGAGACAGCAGUAGGGAAUCUUCCACAAUGGACGCAAGUCUGAUGGAGCAACGCCGCGUGAGUGAAGAAGGUCUUCGGAUCGUAAAACUCUGUUGUUAGAGAAGAACACGAGUGAGAGUAACUGUUCAUUCGAUGACGGUAUCUAACCAGCAAGUCACGGCUAACUACGUGCCAUCAGCCGCGGUAAUCUGAGCGGGCUGGCAAGGC
Molecule: ribosomal RNA, 223 nt
Filed under: uncultured bacterium
Lineage: Bacteria
Description: partial 16S ribosomal RNA
Rfam family: Bacterial small subunit ribosomal RNA
Source: RNAcentral